CGGAGGGUGCAAGCGUUGUCCGGAUUUAUUGGGUUUAAAGGGUGCGUAGGCGGCUAAUUAAGUCAGCGGUGAAAUUCCACAGCUCAACUGUGUGAACUGCCAUUGAUACUGGUUGGCUUGAGUACAGAUGAGGUAGGCGGAAUUGACAGUGUAGCGGUGAAAUGCUUAGAUAUUGUCAAGAACACCUAUUGCGAAGGCAGCUUACUAAACUGUAACUGACGCUGAGGCACGAAAGCGUGGGGAUCAAACAGGAUUAGAUACCCUGGUAGUCCACGCUGUAAACGAUGAUUACUCGAUGUGUGCGAUAGACAGUACGCGUCCAAGCGAAAGCGUUAAGUAAUCCACCUGGGGAGUACGCCCGCAAGAGUG
RNAcentral lists this ribosomal RNA (369 nucleotides) under uncultured organism. RNAcentral describes it as "bacterial SSU rRNA". It matches the Rfam family "Bacterial small subunit ribosomal RNA", at positions 526 to 896 of the family's 1533-position model. The record is from RNAcentral.